GGCUCGGUAGCGGAGGGUCCGCAUCUGCUUCUAUUGACGAGGCCUGUAAACAAAAAUUGAUGCAGACAAAGUCCGUUCGAUUCGGGCUCGAGCCA
This is a non-coding RNA of Mycena crocata, 95 nucleotides long. NCBI's taxonomy places the organism in Eukaryota, Fungi, Basidiomycota, Agaricomycetes, Agaricales, Mycenaceae. The record is from the annotation of a GenBank genome assembly.